This is a long non-coding RNA of Rhinopithecus bieti (black snub-nosed monkey), 2017 nucleotides long. Lineage: Eukaryota; Metazoa; Chordata; Mammalia; Primates; Cercopithecidae. The record is from Ensembl.
GUAGAGAAUGAGUAUCUCGAUAGCCCCAGUAAGCCACAGACUCCUGACCCCCUCUCGUAGGAGGCUCCUCAGAUUGGGCUUGUGGUCUCCAAGGGUAAAGGUGGGGACAGCUGGCAUCCACUGGGAGAACCCACCCUGUGAAUCAUCUGAGGGGGUCUCCCCAGGGUCUUUUGAAGUCAGCUAUGAGACCUCCAUUUUAUAGGUCAGGGCCCCUCAGGGGCUGCCCAACACUCAUGGCUGGAGAGUGGGGGACCAGGGAUAGAAGUAGGAUCACCACCUUCAGGGCCUCUGCACAUUGGACUCAACUGCCCUUAUGGGGACACUGACUUCCCAGGGGGCACUGGGGCACUGGGUCUCCACUGUCAGGACUAGCUCUACUUAGGGCACAAGCCAAGGCAGGACCUGGUGCCCCAGCCCAGCCUAAGUAAGUGAUGGAAGUGAGACCUAAACCCAAGCCAGCUCCCAGCUGGCAACUAACAUGGGGACUACCACCACCACCCCCCUUGCCCAUCCCAUCACCCAGGGACAGAACAAGUGACCACACCAGGAUGCUUCUCUCUCGGAGAGAUGCUAACCUGGAAUAUGGGCAUCAUCUGGGCCUCUCCUGGGUAGAUGGGCCCCCUUCUCAAGUGAUGACUGCUGUUGGAGGAACAGGGACAAGGCACAGCUUCUACUGUGCGUGCCUGCCGGGGCAUAAACGCGGAGUCCAUCCAUGUCCUCUCCGCACUACAGGGAGGACACAGACGAGGCCCUGAUCACUCAGGAGGAAACCGUUCACCUGGGAUAAUGGGAUGCAGUGGCUACGGGUGGCCAGUGGGGACUUGAACCCAUGCAGUCCGGUUCUGCCCAGUUGCCCAGCGCACACUAGGGCUGCUGGGAGAGGUGCUCCUGUUCUGGGAAUGCAGAUUCUCCCUGAGCUGAAGUUCAGAGAAAGAAAAGGAAGGAAAACGGAAAAUUUUCUUCCCUCCCAUCCCCUCCUGGUCCCGCUUUCUCUGUCUGUCUUCCUGUUCUUUCAAUGUCUUCCUCCCUUUCUUUUCUUUUUCUGCCUGCCUGUCUUUCUCUCUGUCUCUCUCUCUCUCUCCUCUUUUCUGCCUCUACUUGUCUGUUUUUCUUUCCCUUCUCCUCUCUGUCUCUGUCCCUUCCUCCCUCCCUCUUUUCCUUCUCUUCUCUCUCCUCCCACACCCUGGGGCGGGGGAUGGAGGUGGGGGCUGUACUCGUGCUCUGACUCUGCCCGCUAUGGGGACCUGACCUUUUCUGCACUGAGGGGAAGGAAUGGGGUAAUUAGCUUAUAUAAUCCCCGGCCUGCCUGCUGUUUGCUGUGGAUGUGGACAAACUCCAUGAAAAUGUGGCUGCUGCUGUGGGAUCCCUUCAAAGGGUUGGAAUCCACAAGGAAGGAGCUUCUUGGUUUCGAACUCUCCUCUCCCCGUGCUGUGAAGAGCAGUUUUCCGGAGGCUUGGAAAGAUAAGCAGGUCUCCCGGGUAGGGACCGCCGGCGGACUGACGACCAGGCGACCCGGUGGGCACCGUGGAUGAUCGAGAUCUACCGCGCGCGGCAAACCGGUGCCUCAAGGGCCUGUCCUGGCCCUGCACUGUGUUGAAUUUCACCCGUGCAGUGGGUAAAAUAUAUUCCAAUAUGCGUAUCAGAAACUGGGAAAAAUAUGUAAAAGAAUAAUUUCACGCACUUAAUCCAGAGUUGACAACUUAGUAAACCUCCAGUCAUGUUUUUUGAGGUGAAAUUAACAUGACAUAAAAUUAGCCAUUUUAGAGUGCCUGAUUCAAGGUUCUUCAGUGCGCUUACAAUGUUGUGCAGCCUUCGCCUCUAUCUCUCCGUCUAGCUCCUGGCCGCUUCCCAGCCCCUGACAACCGUGAAUCUGCUUUCUGUUCCUAAGGGUUGAUUCCUUCUGGGUUUAUAUCAACUGCACCAUGCAACAGGUGGCCCUUUGUGUUUUCUGGCCUCUUUUCCGAGCUUGGCCACUUUUUAGCGUGUAUCACGACUUCAUUCCUUUUAGUGGCUUCCA